Molecule: non-coding RNA, 27 nt
Filed under: Mus musculus (house mouse)
Lineage: Eukaryota; Metazoa; Chordata; Mammalia; Rodentia; Muridae
Source: RNAcentral
UAAGUGUCUUCUAAUGACUGUGUCCUC